GAGGACGUACCGAAAUGGUUAACGGGCUAGGUUGCAACCCUAGUAUUCGCUGGUUCGAAUCCAGUCGUUCUCU
RNAcentral lists this transfer RNA (73 nucleotides) under Bacillus phage vB_BceM_Bc431v3. RNAcentral's name for it is "Bacillus phage vB_BceM-Bc431v3 tRNA". It matches the Rfam family "tRNA". Rfam says of the family: Transfer RNA (tRNA) molecules are approximately 80 nucleotides in length. Their secondary structure includes four short double-helical elements and three loops (D, anti-codon, and T loops). Further hydrogen bonds mediate the characteristic L-shaped molecular structure. tRNAs have two regions of fundamental functional importance: the anti-codon, which is responsible for specific mRNA codon recognition, and the 3' end, to which the tRNAs corresponding amino acid is attached (by aminoacyl-tRNA synthetases). tRNAs cope with the degeneracy of the genetic code in two manners: having more than one tRNA (with a specific anti-codon) for a particular amino acid; and 'wobble' base-pairing, i.e. permitting non-standard base-pairing at the 3rd anti-codon position. Lineage: Duplodnaviria; Heunggongvirae; Uroviricota; Caudoviricetes; Herelleviridae. The record is from Rfam by way of RNAcentral.